GCCAGUGUGGUGUAGUGGUUUCAGCAUUGAACUACAAUUCUAGAGGUCAGGGAUCAAUUCCCUACUUAGCCA
Molecule: non-coding RNA, 72 nt
Organism: Phrynosoma platyrhinos (Desert horned lizard)
Lineage: Eukaryota; Metazoa; Chordata; Lepidosauria; Squamata; Phrynosomatidae
Source: the annotation of a GenBank genome assembly